GAAAUCUAUGCCCUUACCCAUCACACACACAGCACAGCAGCGUCUUGCAGAAAAAUCGUUUGCUUCGAUUUAGGGUUUUCUCGUAUCCUGGGAAAUGGCUGAUUCUCCUCGCCAAAGGUAUUCACGCUCUCCUUCUCCUUGGGAAGAAAAGUCGAGAUCUGGAUCUAGAUCAAGGUCUAGAUCUCCACCUGGGUCAUAUUCAAGGCCAAAGGAAAGAUCCAGGUCUAGAUCAAGGUCAAGAAGCCGUGGAAGGGAAGAAGUUUCUAAUCCUGGAAACACACUUUAUGUGACUGGAUUGUCUACAAGGGUCACGGAAAGGGACCUGGAGGAGCAUUUCUCAAAGGAGGGGAAGGUGAAAUCAGUUUUUCUUGUCAUGGAGCCCCGUUCUCGGAUUUCUCGUGGUUUUGCUUUUAUAACAAUGGAUAGUCUGGAGGAUGCUAAUCGUUGCAUUAAACACCUUAAUCAGUCGGUUCUUGAAGGCCGUUACAUCACAGUGGAAAAGUCUCGGAGGAAACGCGCAAGGACUCCUACGCCUGGUCACUAUCUGGGGCUUAAGAAUGCAAGGGAUGAUGGUUAUCGUGGAGACCGUGGCAGGUAUAGAGAUCGUGAGGACUAUGGGUACCGAAGAUCUCCAAGGCAUUCACCAUAUAGAGGUGGACGAGAUUAUUCACCUAGGCGUUCGCCUUAUGGUGGAAGGUCAAGAAGGGAGCGUUCUAGGUCAUAUUCUCCUUAUGGAAGGAGCUAUCCUCGUGGUCCCAGAUAGGCAUAAGCCCCAGUGACAAUGUAAAACUGCUACAAGGAUCGUUAUAGUGUGGUUUGUCUAGGCUGGUGUGUUUAUUUAUUGUGCUUUAUCUCUAGCUGACUUCCUUAUUGUACCUUAAGUUUGCAACAAGGUUUAAGUAGUGACAUUAUGAACCCUGGGAAAUAUAAUUCUACUGUUGAUUUGAUGGAAGGUUUAAUU
Molecule: unclassified non-coding RNA, 961 nt
Filed under: Hevea brasiliensis (rubber tree)
Lineage: Eukaryota; Viridiplantae; Streptophyta; Magnoliopsida; Malpighiales; Euphorbiaceae
Source: RNAcentral